AGUGAACGCUGGCGGUAGGCCUAACACAUGCAAGUCGAACGGCAGCACAGUAAGAGCUUGCUCUUACGGGUGGCGAGUGGCGGACGGGUGAGGAAUACAUCGGAAUCUACUUUUUCGUGGGGGAUAACGUGGGGAAACUUACGCUAAUACCGCAUACGACCUACGGGUGAAAGCAGGGGAUCUUCGGACCUUGCGCGAUUGAAUUAGCCGAUGUCGGAUUAGCUAGUUGGCGGGGUAAAGGCACACCAAGGCGACGAUCCGUAGCUGGUCUGAGAGGAUGAUCAGCCACACUGGAACUGAGACACGGUCCAGACUCCUACGGGAGGCAGCAGUGGGGAAUAUUGGACAAUGGGCGCAAGCCUGAUCCAGCCAUACCGCGUGGGUGAAGAAGGCCUUCGGGUUGUAAAGCCCUGUUGUUGGGAAAGAAAAGCAGCAGGUUAAUACCCCGCUGUUCUGACGGUACCCAAAGAAUAAGCACCGGCUAACUUCGUG
RNAcentral lists this ribosomal RNA (492 nucleotides) under uncultured bacterium. RNAcentral describes it as "partial 16S ribosomal RNA". It matches the Rfam family "Bacterial small subunit ribosomal RNA", at positions 29 to 507 of the family's 1533-position model. The record is from RNAcentral.